This 495-nucleotide ribosomal RNA is filed under the name uncultured bacterium. RNAcentral describes it as "partial 16S ribosomal RNA". It matches the Rfam family "Bacterial small subunit ribosomal RNA", at positions 28 to 507 of the family's 1533-position model. The record is from RNAcentral.
GACGAACGCUGGCGGCGUGCCUAAUACAUGCAAGUAGAACGCUGAAGGAGGAGCUUGCUCUUCUGGAUGAGUUGCGAACGGGUGAGUAACGCGUAGGUAACCUGCCUGGUAGCGGGGGAUAACUAUUGGAAACGAUAGCUAAUACCGCAUAAGAGUAGAUGUUGCAUGACAUUUUCUUAAAAGGUGCAAUUGCAUCACUACCAGAUGGACCUGCGUUGUAUUAGCUAGUUGGUGGGGUAACGGCUCACCAAGGCGACGAUACAUAGCCGACCUGAGAGGGUGAUCGGCCACACUGGGACUGAGACACGGCCCAGACUCCUACGGGAGGCAGCAGUAGGGAAUCUUCGGCAAUGGACGGAAGUCUGACCGAGCAACGCCGCGUGAGUGAAGAAGGUUUUCGGAUCGUAAAGCUCUGUUGUAAGAGAAGAACGAGUGUGAGAGUGGAAAGUUCACACUGUGACGGUAUCUUACCAGAAAGGGACGGCUAACUACGUG